UUGGCGGCGGCGGCUUCUUCCUGCUCCGGCGGCCCUCAGCCUCCUGCUGGCGGUGACAGCGACGGCGCGGCCAGAGCGCCGCCGCGCCGCGGUGCACCAUGGGAAGGCGCCCGGAGGACCGGCGGGGCGAGGAGCGGAGCCGCGCCGAGCGGAGCGCCCGCAGGGUUACGCGCGGCUCGAGGUGCGUGGAGAAGAGGUGUCGUCGGUGCCGGCGGAGACGGUACGGCGAUGCUGGUGGGAACUACGGUGCUGUUCCCCCGCUGGGAAGCAGCCGGCAACGUGCGCGAAGGGGCAGCUGCCGGAAGUCCCGACCCUCCGCGAUCGCCGUGUCCGCCACGACCCCAAACGACCUGGGGACGAGCAGAGGCCGCGUUUCCCUGACGUGCAGCCGUUCCUCGGAACAGCUCUGCACCCAAAGCGUCUGCAUCUGCGCGGCUCUGUGUGGCAGCUCCUCACGCAGCCCUCAGCUCCAACCGUGCGAGGCUUCGCCAUGGCUGUAGUUGGCACUGGGGGGCCCGCGCCUCGAGUGCUGUGCUCAGUGUUGGGCCUCUCACUACAAGAAGUACGCUGGGGCCCUGGAUUGUGUCCAGAGAAGGGCAGUGGAGUUGUGAAGGAUCUGAGAACACAUCUGAGGGAACUGGGAUUGUUCAGCCUAGAGAAGAGGAGGCUCGAGGGAGACCUUAUCACUGUCCUGCUCCCUAAAAGGAGGCUGUGGCAAGGUGGAGGUUGGCCUCUCCUCCUGAAUAACAGCAAUAGGCAUUAAGAUAUGCUAGGGAAGUUCAGAUUGGAUGUUAGGAAACAUUUCUUCUCAGAAGGAGUGGUGGUGCAGUGGCACAGGCUGCCCAGGGAAGUGGUGGAGUCACCAUCCCCGGAGGUGUUCAAGAACUGUGGAGAUGUGGCACUGAGGGAUGUGAUGGGGAUGGUCUGGUGGUUUGUCUGUGAUCACAGAGGUCUUUUACAACUUUAGCAGUCCUAUGAUUGCCCCAGCCUGCAUGCCCACUGGGACCCAGCCAGCAGUGUGCAUGGGACAGCAGCCAUGGGAUGCCUUGGUAUCCAGACAGAAAUCCAAAAUCAGCAGACUGUCAUCUCUGUGAUCACGGUGCUCUCCCUGACUCCAAACAACGUGGGGAACUGCGGGAGACCAGAUUUCUUCAGGUUGCUUGGAACAGCUCUGCACCUGAAGCAUCCACAUCUCCACAACUUUGUGUCCUGGUUCCUCAUGAGGCCUUCAGCUUCUUUCUCUUCUGGAGCUUACAAACACUCCCGUGUUUCUCUAAAUAAAGUCUUUAGCCCAACGCCACGCUUAAACACGUGCUUAACUAAAUUGCUUGAUGUCACUUGCUUAUAAUUAAGCAUGUGCUUAAGUGCUCUGCUGGAUGAAAGCCAGAAUCCACACAAGCUCUAUUGGGUGAAAUUUACCAGCUUCACUAGGCUUAGCUUUGUGACUCACUCAAUCAGCAGCAGCCCAAAGUGUUUUGCCACAGGCUUAGUUGUUCCCAGGUUGUCCUACAGGAUUGCCUUGUCCCCACCACAGGGCUUACAUCCUUUGUUGAGUCCUGUUAGGAUGAGGAUGCAUCUGCCUGGUGAGUGAGCAAUACUCAAUUGCUUCAUGUAGGGCUUCUAGUUCCUUUUAACGAUGUGCCUUAAUAAGAUUCUGCAGCCCUGUGGAGGUCAUAGAUGGUGCCAUUUAGUUAUGGUGUAAUAAACUGCAUUAAGAAAGAGUCGAUGACAUGAAGACCCAGUUUGAAGAUCUGCCCUGACUUUAUGCAAUAAGUAUAUUUCAAAAUAAUUGCACGGACUCUGCAUGAACAAAGGAAGGAGUUAAUAAAAUGUGGCUACAGCUCAUGCAGUUGUUUAGUUCUACAUAAGUACAAGAAGCGUCAUUAACCCGCUUGCUGAAUAAUCACAGAAUCACACACAGAAUUGCAAAGGGUGGAAGGGACCUUUGGAUGUCACCUGGUCUAAGCCUCUACUAAUGAAUCGUGGAAUGGCUUGGGUUGGAAAGGAUCUCAAGGACCAUGAAGCUCCAGCCCUCUGCUGCAAACAGGGCCACCAAGCUCCAUAUCUAAUACCAGACCAGGCUGCUCAGUGCCCCAUCCAACCUGGCCUUGAACACCUCUAGGGCCAGGGCAUCCCACAACCUCUCUAAGCAGUCUGUUCCAGCACCUCACCAUUCUUGGUAAAGAACUUCUCCCUGAUAUCCAGCCUAAAUCUUCCCUCCCUCAACUUAAAACCAUUUCCCCUUGUCCUGCCAUUAUCUGUCCUCGUAAAGAGUUGAAUCCCCUCCUGUUUAUAGGCUCCCUUUAGGUACUGAAAGGCUGCAGGGUGACCUAAUUGCAGCUUUUCAGUACCUAAAGGGAACUUUCUUUUUUCCAGGCUGAAUAAGCCCAGAUCGUUCAGCCUGUCUUCAUAGGGGAGGUGCUCCAGUCCCCUGAUCAUCUUUGCAGCUCUCCUCUUGACCCUCUCCAACAGCUCUGUCUUUCUUGUUCUGGGGGCUCCACACCUGGACACAGUGCUCCAGAUUGGGCCUCACAAGUGCAGAGUAGAGAGGGACAAUCACCUCCCUGUCCCUGCAGGCCACCCCUCUUCUGAUGGAGCCCAGGAUACCAUUUGCUUUCCAAGCUCCAAAAGCACGCUGCUGGCUCAUGUUAAGUUUUUCAUCCACCAGAACCCCCAAGUCCUUCUCUGCAUAGCUACUUUUGGGGAUUGCUCCUUCCAAUCUGUCUGUACACCUGGGAUUCCUCCAGGCUUUAUAAAGCUUUUAAGUUUCCAAAAAUAGAGUUUUAGAAAGUGAAGGAAGCUGUACACAUACAAAGCUUGAUUUUUUUUCCCUUCAAAGACAAUUAAUUUGGUGAUUGCAUUCAUUUAUACCUGUUUAAAAAAAAAUAUAUAUAUAUAUCUUUAGAAUUUCGUUAAGUCUGAGUCAGGAAGUUCAGCACAAAAACCUCUUUUUAAAAGGCAUGGAGCAAUUACAGCUUUCUGCAGGGUGAGCACAAGCCUUUCUCUGAAGACGCAUCAAUUAGAACCUGCUUUUCAAAAAUUUUAUUUAGUAAUUAGCAGUAUAAUAUGAAGAAGACUGUUGUAUUUAAAGCAAAGAAGUAAGACUCAUCAUACUUGGUUUUUAAACGCAUUCAGGGAUGGGGACUCAACCACCUCCCUGGGGAGCCUAUUUCAGUGCUUUAAGAGUCCCACUCUUUCAAACGAAUGCAACUGGUGAAAAACUGCAAAUAUCCCAUUUAAUUACAUGAAGCUAUCAGAUGCUAAAGCAGAAAUAAAACCAAAUGCCUUCUUCAAUUUCUCUCCCCCUCAAUCUGCUGUAGCCCUAGUUAAUGUUAGUUUGCGCAAGUGUUAUAAUGAACAGUGCUUCAGAAGGGCCUAGACGAACACCGGAGUUUUCAACAUGAGCUGUCGUCUGGAACCAAUUGCUAGUAAAAGAUUGAGAAUCUUCCAUCCAGUUUUUCAAUUCAGAUAUCUCACCAGGGAUUUAACUGGCACAAAUACUCAAUGCUGAAAAUUAAAUGAGUCCAUUGUGUGAAUAUCAACUCA
This is a long non-coding RNA of Tympanuchus pallidicinctus (lesser prairie-chicken), 3546 nucleotides long. RefSeq lists it as uncharacterized. Lineage: Eukaryota; Metazoa; Chordata; Aves; Galliformes; Phasianidae. The transcript has 2 exons. The record is from RefSeq and is a predicted model, not a curated record.